CUAUACAAACCAGUAGCAUCUGUCUUUUUUGAAGUCUAGUUUUUGACAUAUUGGAAGAAUUCUUUUAAUUUUAAAAGUUUUGUGCGGAAAAAAUAUAGAGGAAAAAUAAUUGAAUCAUGUUGGAAAAAUGAUACAAAUUUAUCACAUGGAAUCGAUUAGGAUCCUAGCUGAUGGUUCGCAUAUCGCAUUUCCGAUCAUUUGUCCCCGCAUUAACAACAAUUCGAGAGGAUUUAAUACUUAAGUCCCCCAGCACCAUCAUUGACAAUAAGCAUCAAAGGGAGAAUCCACCUGUAACAGAUAAUGGGGAAGGAGAUAAUACCGAGCAAAUUGGUGAGACACUUGAUAAUCCAACUCAAGCUCUGAACCCAAUGAAAAAUGGUUAGCCUGCCAGCACAGUUGCCCCUGUUGUGAAAAAGCCAUUGCAAAGUAAGAAAUUGUUUUGGUAUCAAAUGAUCGAGUAAUUUAAUUCAAUGCUACGAAUCUCUUGAAUAAAUGGACGAUUCGUUGCAUCUAUCUAUGAAACGAGAUUUCUCAGUUCUAUUAUCUGAUCGUGGAGUACAAAUCAGUUUUAUAAAAGAUAAUAAGAGUACCUACCUGGUUCUCAAUUAACAUACACUUAACUUGAAUAUGGAAACAAUUGAGGAUUUGGGAAAAGCCAUCAACACAUUUGCGGGUGGAGUGAUUUUAGAUCCUCACAACGAAAGACUAAACAAGUUGUUUGCAAAGAUUUUUUGGUAUGCGGCAUACAUCAGGUUCAGAAAGUAAAAAUUAAACCUGUUGAAUUAGCCGACAAUAAAUCAAAAUUAAGGAAAUUACAUCAAGAACUAGAGUAGAAAUUAGAAGCUUUAUCUGAGGCCAAAGAGGAAAAGAACACAAGGGCGAAGAUGUUUUUUAAAAUUCUCUGGAAGAAAAUAAAAAGCAUCAGGAUACAAACAAUUCACGACAAAAAUCAUACGAGCGUCAAAGCCAAGAAAGAGAAGUUGA
Episyrphus balteatus (marmalade hoverfly) is the source of this 984-nucleotide long non-coding RNA. RefSeq lists it as uncharacterized. The transcript is spliced from 6 exons. Lineage: Eukaryota; Metazoa; Arthropoda; Insecta; Diptera; Syrphidae. The record is from RefSeq and is a predicted model, not a curated record.